UGGGGAAUUUUGGACAAUGGGCGCAAGCCUGAUCCAGCCAUGCCGCGUGAGUGAAGAAGGCCUUCGGGUUGUAAAGCUCUUUCAGACGGAAAGAAAUCUCUUGGGCGAAUACCCUGGGAGGAUGACGGUACCGUAAGAAGAAGCACCGGCUAACUACGUGCCAGCAGCCGCGGUAAUACGUAGGGUGCGAGCGUUAAUCGGAAUUACUGGGCGUAAGGCGUGCGCAGGCGGUUAUAUAAGACAGAUGUGAAAUCCCCGGGCUCAACCUGGGACCUGCAUUUGUGACUGUAUAGCUAGAGUACGGUAGAGGGGGAUGGAAUUCCGCGUGUAGCAGUGAAAUGCGUAGAUAUGCGGAGGAACACCGAUGGCGAAGGCAGCCUCCUGGGCCAGUACUGACGCUCAUGCACGAAAACGUGGGGAGCAAACA
RNAcentral lists this ribosomal RNA (427 nucleotides) under uncultured bacterium. RNAcentral's name for it is "bacterial SSU rRNA". It matches the Rfam family "Bacterial small subunit ribosomal RNA", at positions 355 to 774 of the family's 1533-position model. The record is from RNAcentral.